GUGUACCUACGGGGGGCAGCAGUGGGGGAUAUUGCACAAUGGGGGGAACCCUGAUGCAGCGACGCCGCGUGGGCGAUGGAGCGCCUCGGCGCGUAAAGCCCUAUCAGCAGGGAAGAAGAUGACGGUACCUGACUAAGAAGCCCCGGCUAAAUACGUGCCAGCAGCCGCGGUAAUACGUAUGGGGCCAGCGUUAUCCGGAUUUAUUGGGUUUAAAGGGUGCGCAGGCGGACCAUCAAGUCAGCGGUAAAAUCGUGGGGCCCAACCCCAUCCCGCCGUUGAAACUGGCGGUCUUUAGUGAG
Molecule: ribosomal RNA, 299 nt
Filed under: uncultured bacterium
Lineage: Bacteria
Description: partial 16S ribosomal RNA
Rfam family: Bacterial small subunit ribosomal RNA
Source: RNAcentral